ACCGGCAGCCAUAUCACCCUGUAGCCCAAGCCUGGUUGCCCACUGAAGCUAAGCAGGGCUGAGCUGGUCAGUAUUAAUUAAUUGUAAAUAUCACAACAACAAAUAUUUUUGCCUCAAAAUCCAUUUAUGCUUGUC
Molecule: ribosomal RNA, 135 nt
Filed under: Sinocyclocheilus anshuiensis
Lineage: Eukaryota; Metazoa; Chordata; Actinopteri; Cypriniformes; Cyprinidae
Source: RNAcentral